Molecule: unclassified non-coding RNA, 436 nt
Filed under: Monomastix sp. OKE-1
Lineage: Eukaryota; Viridiplantae; Chlorophyta; Mamiellophyceae; Monomastigales; Monomastigaceae
Description: RNA subunit of RNase P
Source: RNAcentral
AUGUUCAUCUACAAGUGAUUACAAAAAAGAAUUCUUUUUUGAGGAAAGUCUGGGCUCCCAUAAAUGAGAAUUGGUGAAUAUCCAAUCCAAGUUAAAAAUUGGAAGGAGAGUGCCACAGAAAUAUUUUUUUGCAAAUAAAGUAUACCCUUCUCAGGAGUAAACUCUUUAACGUCUGACAAUAUCUAAUUCUAAGUUAAGACGCAAAGAAAAAGUGCUAGAAAGAAAAAGAAAUUUUUCUUCAAGAUAAAUAAUCACUGAAAGUAUAGACUAAGGUCCAAAAUUUUUGAUACAGUGGAAAAUCCUAAUGUUUAAAAGAGCUCAUUUCAUCGAUCUCGUUUAAAAAAUAAACAAAAAAAGAAAUCUUUCCAUUAAAACACAACAAACUAUGGCCUGAAAUCUUUCUUUUAACAAAACCCAGCUUACAAUGAACAAAGUU